Non-coding RNA from Acanthosepion pharaonis, 97 nucleotides. Lineage: Eukaryota; Metazoa; Mollusca; Cephalopoda; Sepiida; Sepiidae. The record is from the annotation of a GenBank genome assembly.
GUUGAAACCCCGGUUCCCGUACAAUCACCGAAGUUAAGCAACAUCGACCCUGGUCAGUAUCUAGAAGCGUGAUCACUUGAGAAUACCAGGUGUUGUU